Molecule: ribosomal RNA, 232 nt
Filed under: uncultured bacterium
Lineage: Bacteria
Description: partial 16S ribosomal RNA
Rfam family: Bacterial small subunit ribosomal RNA
Source: RNAcentral
UACGUAGGGUGCAAGCGUUAUCCGGAAUUAUUGGGCGUAAAGAGCUCGUAGGCGGUUUGUCGCGUCUGCUGUGAAAACUGGAGGCUCAACCUCCAGCCUGCAGUGGGGUACGGGCAGACUAGAGUGCGGUAGGGGAGAUUGGAAUUCCUGGUGUAGCGGUGGAAUGCGCAGAUAUCAGGAGGACACCGAUGGCGAAGGCAGAUCUCUGGGCCGUAACUGGACGCUAAAGGAG